GGGUUGUAAACCGCUUUUGUCAGGGAAGAAACGGCCUGAUCUAAUAAAUCGGGCUAAUGACGGUACCUGAAGAAUAAGCACCGGCUAACUACGUGCCAGCAGCCGCGGUAAUACGUAGGGUGCAAGCGUUAAUCGGAAUUACUGGGCGUAAAGCGUGCGCAGGCGGCUUUGCAAGACAGAUGUGAAAUCCCCGGGCUUAACCUGGGAACUGCAUUUGUGACUGCAUGGCUAGAGUGCGGCAGAGGGGGAUGGAAUUCCGCGUGUAGCAGUGAAAUGCGUAGAUAUGCGGAGGAACACCGAUGGCGAAGGCAAUCCCCUGGGCCUGCACUGACGCUCAUGCACGAAAGCGUGGGGAGCAAACAGGAUUAGAUACCCUGGUAGUCCACGCCCUAAACGAUGUCAACUGGUUGUUGGACGGCUUGCUGUUCAGUAACGAAGCUAACGCGUGAAGUUGACCGCCUGGGGAGUACGGCCGCAAGGUUGAAACUCA
RNAcentral lists this ribosomal RNA (490 nucleotides) under Rhizobacter sp. Its description in RNAcentral is "bacterial SSU rRNA". It matches the Rfam family "Bacterial small subunit ribosomal RNA", at positions 420 to 903 of the family's 1533-position model. Lineage: Bacteria; Pseudomonadati; Pseudomonadota; Betaproteobacteria; Burkholderiales; Sphaerotilaceae. The record is from RNAcentral.